NNNNCGGCUGGGCGCGGCGGCCGCUGCCCGUCGGAGAAAUCCCGCUCUGGCCUUACCGUCAUUGCCAAAUCCAUUAUAGCCGUCUCCGCCGCCGCCAUAACCGCCACCGCGGCUGCCACCAAACCCACCUGAAAAGAACAAACCGUUGGGGUUCAAAUCCGUCCGCGCGGGGCCCCGGGGGAGGUUUAGAGCUGCCGGAGAGAAAUCAAAAAAAAAAAAACCAAAAAAAAGCCAAAAAACCAAAAAAACCCACAAAAGAGCCUAAAAACCACCCCAAAAAAAACAAAAAAAAGCAAAAAAAAAACCCCAAAACAAACAAAAAAACCCCAAAAAACUCCCCAAAAAGCACAAAAAAGAAACAAACCAAAAACAACCAAAAGAAACAAACCAAAAACAACCAAAAGAAACAAACCAAAAACAACCAAAAGAAACAAACCAAAAACAACCAAAAGAAACAAACCAAAAACAACCAAAAGAAACAAACCAAAAACAACCAAAAGAAACAAACCAAAAACAACCAAAAGAAACAAACCAAAAACAACCAAAAGAAACAAACCAAAAACAACCAAAAGAAACAAACCAAAAACAACCAAAAGAAACAAACCAAAAACAACCAAAAGAAACAAACCAAAAACAACCAAAAGAAACAAACCAAAAACAACCAAAAGAAACAAACCAAAAACAACCAAAAGAAACAAACCAAAAACAACCAAAAGAAACAAACCAAAAACAACCAAAAGAAACAAACCAAAAACAACCAAAAGAAACAAACCAAAAACAACCAAAAGAAACAAACCAAAAACAACCAAAAGAAACAAACCAAAAACAACCAAAAGAAACAAACCAAAAACACUUCCCCGCCGAAUCCGCCUCCGCGGCCGCCGCCGAAAUUCCCGGAGCCGCUGCGGCCUAGGAGAGGGGGCGGAGGGGGGGGACAGCCUUUAGGAACAGAAGAAACAAACCAAAAACAACCAAAAGAAACUCAAAAAACAACCAAAAAAACCCCGUUUGGGACAGCCAAAUCCCGGCGUGGAGGGAGCAGAGCGAUGGCCCCAGCCGGGAGCCGGAGCGGUGGCAACGGAAGCGGCGGCGGCGUUUUGGGUUAGUUUAUGAUUUUUUUUUGGUGUUGUGUCUGGAGCCGGCGGCGUCCCCUGGCAGGGGGGGGAUCUGGCAGCCGGGGAGGGGUCCCGUGCC
RNAcentral lists this long non-coding RNA (1194 nucleotides) under Calidris pugnax (ruff). RNAcentral describes it as "lncRNA (ENSCPUG00000001669.1)". Lineage: Eukaryota; Metazoa; Chordata; Aves; Charadriiformes; Scolopacidae. The record is from RNAcentral.